Molecule: ribosomal RNA, 381 nt
Filed under: uncultured archaeon
Lineage: Archaea
Description: bacterial SSU rRNA
Rfam family: Archaeal small subunit ribosomal RNA
Source: RNAcentral
ACACCGGCGGCCCGAGUGGUGAUCGUGAUUAUUGGGUCUAAAGGGUCCGUAGCCGGUUUGGUCAGUCCUCCGGGAAAUCUGAUAGCUCAACUAUUAGGCUAUCGGGGGAUACUGCCAGACUUGGAACCGGGAGAGGUAAGAGGUACUACAGGGGUAGGAGUGAAAUCUUGUAAUCCCUGUGGGACCACCUGUGGCGAAGGCGUCUUACCAGAACGGGUUCGACGGUGAGGGACGAAAGCUGGGGGCACGAACCGGAUUAGAUACCCGGGUAGUCCCAGCCGUAAACGAUGCUCGCUAGGUGUCAGGCAUGGCGCGACCGUGUCUGGUGCCGCAGGGAAGCCGUGAAGCGAGCCACCUGGGAAGUACGGCCGCAAGGCUGAA